UACGAACCGAGCGAACGUUGUUCGGAAUCACUGGGCUUAAAGGGCGCGUAGGCGGACUAUCAAGUCUGGGGUGAAAUCCCGCGGCUCAACCGUGGAACUGCCUCAGAUACUGACGGUCUCGAGGGAGGUAGGGGCAUGCGGAACUGUAGGUGGAGCGGUGAAAUGCGUUGAUAUCUACAGGAACUCCGGUGGCGAAAGCGGCGUGCUGGACCUCUUCUGACGCUGAGGCGCGAAAGCUAGGGGAGCAAACGGG
This 253-nucleotide ribosomal RNA is filed under the name uncultured bacterium. RNAcentral's name for it is "partial 16S ribosomal RNA". It matches the Rfam family "Bacterial small subunit ribosomal RNA", at positions 524 to 776 of the family's 1533-position model. The record is from RNAcentral.